UCCCAACCAAUCUCUCUCUUAGUUUUCUCUCUUCUCCCAUUUGAGAAUUCUUAAGGAAUUCUAUUUGUUUGUAAUACUUUGGAGAUAGUAAAGUUAUCAUCUGGUGUUAGUGCCCGAGGACGUAGGUAUAAUUUACCGAACCUCGUUAAAACUCUUGUGUUCUUUCUUGUCCUAUUUUUCUUUCAAUAUUUGAGGGUAUAAUAGUAGUAUUUAAUUGUGCUAUUAAAUUACUAUAGAAGAGAUAUUCUGUCUAAGGAAAGACUUGGUAUUUAAGAGAUCCAUGUGAUCCACCUCUCUUUCCUGGGAAUUGAACUUUGUGUGAUUUUUUAGUACAAUAAUUUACACGCUUCCAACCCUAUUAGAACAACAAGUGGUAUCAGAGCCGAAGGUUAAUCGUAGUAUGCUCUAUGGUUACAGUUUGAACUGAUCUUCUACAUCAGAAAAGAUUUCCUUAGGUAUAUUGAAAGAUUAUGGAGAAAACGGUCGGUGUAGGAGCUUCAACAUCGUCCAUGUGGACAAGACCGACAAUUGCAAAUGCAAGAUUGGCCGUGGAGAUCUUUGAUGGCACGGGCCAUUUUGGUAUGUGGCAAAGUGAGGUUCUAGAUGCCCUUUUUCAGCAGGGUCUAGACAUUGCCAUUGAUGAAGAGAAACCAGAUGAUGUACAGGAGAAAGAUUGGAAGGCGAUCAAUCGGUUGGCAUGUGGCACAAUUUGAUCAUGCCUUUCUCGACAGCAGAGGUAUGCUUUUUCAAAGGAGACUUCUGCAAAUAAGUUGUGGGUGGCACUUGAAGAAAAUUUUUUGAAGAAAAACAGUCAAAAUAAGCUCCACUUGAAGAAAAGACUGUUUCGCUUCACAUACGUCCCAAUUACCACAAUGAAUGAUCACAUCACCAAAUUUAAUCAGUUAGUCACUGAUUUGCUGAAUAUGGAUGAGACAUUCAAAGAUGAAGAUUUGGCUUUGAUGCUGUUGGGGUCACUUCCUGAGGAGUUUGAGUUCCUAGAAACUACUCUACUUCAUGGCAUAAGUGAUAUAUCUCUGAGCGAAGUCUGUGCGGCCUUAUACAGUUAUGAACAGAGAAAGAAGGACAAACAGAAAAACUCAAUCAGAGAUACAGAAGCUUUAGUAGUCCGAGGUCGUUCAUACACUCGGAAGAAAACUCAAAAGGGGAGAUCAAAGUCAAAGUCCAGACUCAGGAAAGAUGAAUGUGCUUUUUGUCAUGAGAAAGGCCACUGGAAGAAAAAUUGUCCAAAGCUGAAGAAUAAGGGAAAAGAUGCUGUAGAUGCUUGUGUUGCUAAGCAUGAUACUAGUGACUCUGAACUAUCACUGGUUGUAUCAUCAUCGUCGUUCCAUUCAGAUGAGUGGAUAUUGGAUUCGGGUUGUACCUAUCAUAUGUCCCCUAACCGGGAGUGGUUCUCUGAUUUAGUAGAACUAAAUGGAGGAGUUGUUUAUAUGGGCAAUGACAAUGCCGUAAAACUGUUGGGAUAGGUUCAAUCCAAUUAAAGAAUCAAGAUGGAUCAACCAGAGUUCUGACUGAUGUUCGGUACGUGCCCAGUUUGAAGAAAAAUCUCAUCUCAUUGGGAGCCUUGGAAUCCAAUGGUUCAGUUGUUACUAUGAGAGAUGGGAUUUUGAAAGUGACAUCUGGCGCACUUGUGAUAUUGAAGGGCAUCAGGAAAAAUAACUUGUAUUACUACCAAAGUAGUACAGUUAUUGGAGCAGUCGCUGCAGCUUCCGGUAACAAAGACUUGGACUCAAUGCAGUUGUGGCAUAUGAAGUUGGGACAUGCCAGCGAAAAAUCCUUGCAAAUUCUGGCAAAGCAAGGAUUGUUGAAAGGUGCAAAGGCUUGCAAAUUAAAAUUUUAUGAGCACUGUGUUCUGGGAAAGCAAAAGAGAGUGAAAUUCGGCACUGCUAUCCACAAUACAAAAGGUAUUUUGGAAUAUAUUCACUCAGAUGUGUGGGGGCCUUCCAAAACACCUUCGUUGGGAGGAAAACACUACUUUGUUACUUUUGUUGAUGACUUUUCCAGAAGAGUUUGGGUGUAUACCAUGAAAACUAAAGAUGAAGUGCUUGGAGUUUUUCUUAAAUGGAAAACUAUGAUCGAAAACCAGACUGGCAAGAAAAUCAAGUGGCUUAGGACGGACAAUGGAGGGGAAUAUAAAAGUGAUUCGUUCUUCGAUGUGUGCCAAGAGUAUGGUAUUGUUCGACACUUCACAGUUAGGGAUACACCACAACAGAAUGGAGUGGCAGAGCGUAUGAAUCGAACAUUACUGGAGAAAGUUCGAUGUAUGUUGUCCAAUGCUGGGUUAGGCAAGCAAUUUUGGGCUGAGGCUGUGACAUACGCUGGCCAUCUUGUUAAUCGUUUGCCAUCAUCUGCAUUAGAAAGAAAAACUCUUAUGGAGGUAUGGUCUGGAAAACCGGCUACAGAUUAUGAUUCCUUACAUGUGUUUGGAACCACUGCAUAUUACCAUGUGAAGGAAUCAAAGUUAGAUCCGAGGGAAAAGAAAGCUCUCUUUAUGGGAAUCACUUCUGGAGUGAAGGGAUUUCGUCUUUGGUGCUUAAGCACAAAGAAAAUGAUCUGUAGCAGAGAUGUUACCUUUGAUGAAUCUGCCACAUUGAAAAAGGUAGCAGAUAAAGAUAUUCAGACGAGCAAUACUCCACAGCAGGUGGAGUGUACUCCAAAACAGGUGGAGUUUGAGCAGAUGGGGAUUUGCCCAGUUAAUAAGUCUAAUUCUCCAGCCACAAUGGAGGAAUUAGAGGUUGAAGAGGUUCUGACCCAAGAACCACUAAGUACACCAGAACCAGUUGCAGUUGCAAGGCCACGGAGAGAAAUUCGUAAACCUACUCGAUUUACUGAUAUGGUGGCCUACGCCAUUCCCGUUGUUGAUGAUAUUCCUAUCACUUAUCAAGAAGCAAUGCAAAGCUUAGAAAGUGAUAAAUGGAAAAGCGCCAUGGAUGAAGAAAUGCAGUCUCUCCGGAAGAACAAUACUUGGGAGUUGGCGCAAUUACCAAAAGGUAAAAGGGCAAUCGGAUACAAGUGGGUAUUCGCAAAGAAAGAUGGAUCUCCUAGCAAGAAGGAUAUUCGCUACAAGGCAAGAUUGGUAGCUAAAGGCUACGCUCAGAAGGAGGGAAUUGACUACAAUGAUGUAUUUUCCCUGUUGUGAAGCAUUUCUCCAUUAGAAUUUUGUUGGCCUUGGUAGCACAGUUGAAUUUGGAGCUAGCUCAACUUGAUGUUAAGACAGCUUUCUUGCAUGGUGAGUUAGAAGAGGAGAUCUAUAUGACUCAGCUCGAAGGAUACACAGAUGCUGGUGGUAGAAAUUGGGUUUGUAAGCUGAACAAAUCGCUAUAUGGAUUGAAGCAAUCCCCGAGGCAGUGGUACAAGCGAUUUGAUAGCUUUAUGAGAAGGCAGAAGUACACAAGAAGUAAAUAUGACAAUUGUGUAUAUUUGCAGAAGCUGCAUGACGGAUCUUUCAUUUAUCUACUCUUGUAUGUUGAUGAUAUGUUAAUCGCUUCGAAGAGGCAAAAUGAGAUAGAUAAGCUGAAGGCUCAGUUGAAUCAAGAGUUCGAGAUGAAAGAUCUAGGUGAGGCUAAGAAGAUUCUCGGCAUGGAGAUAAGUAGAGAUAGACCGAGAGGCAAGCUCUGUUUAAAUCAGAAGCAAUAUCUGAAAAAGGUAUUACAAUGUUUUGGUGUAAAUGAAAACACAAAACAUGUAAGUACCCCACUUGCUUCUCAUUUGAAACUUAGUGCUCAAUUAUCUCCGAAAACUGAAGAAGAAAGAGAAUAUAUGAAGAAAGUCCCAUAUGCUAAUGCAGUUGGGAGUUUGAUGUAUGCGAUGGUGUGUACGAGGCCUGACAUUUCACAAGCUGUUGGAGUUGUGAGCAGGUAUAUGCAUGAUCCUAGAAAAGGACAUUGGCAAGCUGUGAAAUGGAUUCUACGGUAUCUUUGAAAAACCGUAGAUGUUGGUUUAAUUUUUGAACAAGAUGAAGCACUUGGUCAGUUUGUAGUUGGAUAUGUUGAUUCCGACUUUGCUGGUGAUUUAGAUAAACGUCGUUCAACUACGGGGUAUCUGUUUACUCUUGCGAAAGCCCCAGUGAGUUGGAAGUCUACCUUACAGUCUACAGUAGCUGUGUCUACUACAGAGGCAGAAUAUAUGGCAGUUACAGAAGCUGUUAAGGAGGCUAUUUGGCUUAAUGGAUUGUUGAAAGACUUAGGAGUUGUUCAAAGUCACAUAAGUUUAUAUUGUGACAGUCAGAGCGCUAUUCAUUUAGCGAAAAAUUAAGUCUAUCAUUCAAGAACCAAGCAUAUCGACGUAAGAUAUCACUUUGUGCGGGAAGUCUUUGAAAAAGGAAAAAUUCUACUUCAGAAGAUUCCGACAGCAGAUAAUCCCGCAGAUAUGAUGACCAAGGUGGUAACAACAAUCAAGUUUAAUCAUUGUUUGAACUUGAUUAACAUCCUGAGAAUUUGAGCACCUUCAGGUGUAUGGCGCUCGAGAGUGCAUUUGUAGGCACUACAAAAGAUAGCUUUAUCGAAUUUGGGGAGUUGAAGGAAGUGUGUGAAGAUGUGAUUAUCCUAAUCAAAUCUUCAAGGUGGAGAUUGUUAACAUUAAUGGGAGACAAUAUUAAUGGCAAACAAUACAAAGUGGUGCAAGUUUAGCACCCUAAAGUUGACUUUGAAAAAGUGGCAUGGGAUAAUUUUUUUUUGGUCCUUGAGAUAAUGGGCUAUUUAUUGUUUGGUCCUUAAACCUCAACUAUAAAUAGGCCUUCUCAUUUCUCAUUUCAAUUCAUCCCAACUAAUCUUUCUCUCUUAGUUUUCUCUCUUCUCCCAUUUGAGAAUUCUUAAGGAAUUCUAUUUGUUUGUAAUACUUUGGAGAUAGUAAAGUUAUCAUCUGGUGUUAGUGCUCGAGGACGUAGGUAUAAUUUACCGAACCUCGUUAAAACUCUUGUGUUCUUUCUUGUCCUAUUUUUCUUUCAAUAUUUGAGGGUAUAAUAGUAGUAUUUAAUUGUGCUAUUAAAUUACUAUAGAAGGGAUAUUCUGUCUAAGGAAAGACUUGGUAUUUAAGAGAUCCAUGUGACCCACCUCUCUUUCCUGGGAAUUGAACUUUGUGUGAUUUUUUAGUACAAUAAUUUACAUGCUUCCGACCCUAUUGGAACAACAGUUGAGAUGUUGGACUACCUAAUGUAUGUGCUUCAUAUAUAUUUACAUAGAUCAAAUUCUGCUAUUAGUUUGUAUUUUAUUUAAGUUGUAGAUUUAUUACAUGUAGUUUGAUUUGGUUAUUUUCACGUGAAAAUUUUAGUCUUAACCAAAUGAUAAAUAUUAAAUUUAUUAUGUUAUGUUAUGUUAUUUUUUAAAAUUUGAUGUGUCAAAUAUAUUAUCACAUGUGUAAUGUUAUGUUUGUUAAUGAUUUUCACAUAUUACUUACAAAAAAUUAGUUAAUAGAUUUAAUGACUUUCGUUUGCAUUAA
Molecule: long non-coding RNA, 5454 nt
Filed under: Gossypium barbadense (sea-island cotton)
Lineage: Eukaryota; Viridiplantae; Streptophyta; Magnoliopsida; Malvales; Malvaceae
Description: long non-coding RNA (GBAR_LNC017739)
Source: RNAcentral